RNAcentral lists this ribosomal RNA (407 nucleotides) under uncultured Intrasporangiaceae bacterium. Its description in RNAcentral is "partial 16S ribosomal RNA". It matches the Rfam family "Bacterial small subunit ribosomal RNA", at positions 355 to 774 of the family's 1533-position model. Lineage: Bacteria; Bacillati; Actinomycetota; Actinomycetes; Micrococcales; Intrasporangiaceae. The record is from RNAcentral.
UGGGGAAUAUUGCACAAUGGGCGAAAGCCUGAUGCAGCGACGCCGCGUGAGGGAUGACGGCCUUCGGGUUGUAAACCUCUUUCAGCAGGGAAGAAGCGAAAGUGACGGUACCUGCAGAAGAAGCACCGGCUAACUACGUGCCAGCAGCCGCGGUAAUACGUAGGGUGCGAGCGUUGUCCGGAAUUAUUGGGCGUAAAGAGCUUGUAGGCGGUUUGUCGCGUCUGCUGUGAAAAUCCGGGGCUCAACCCCGGACUUGCAGUGGGUACGGGCAGACUAGAGUGUGGUAGGGGAGACUGGAAUUCCUGGUGUAGCGGUGAAAUGCGCAGAUAUCAGGAGGAACACCGAUGGCGAAGGCAGGUCUCUGGGCCACUACUGACGCUGAGAAGCGAAAGCGUGGGGAGCGAACA